RNAcentral lists this ribosomal RNA (298 nucleotides) under uncultured bacterium. Its description in RNAcentral is "partial 16S ribosomal RNA". It matches the Rfam family "Bacterial small subunit ribosomal RNA", at positions 775 to 1067 of the family's 1533-position model. The record is from RNAcentral.
GGAUUAGAUACCCUGGUAGUCCUAGCCGUAAACGAUGGGCACUAAGCAGAGGGCCUCCCAAGGGUUCUCUGCCGUAGCUAAUGUGUUAAGUGCCCCGCCUGGGGAGUAUGGUCGCAAGGCUAAAACUCAAAGGAAUUGACGGGGGCUCACACAAGCGGUGGAGUAUGUGGUUUAAUUCGAACAACGCGCAGAACCUUACCCGGUCUUGACAUAUACGAAUUAGCCUUAUGAAAGUAAGGUGACUCCCUUCGGGGUGGAACGUAUACAGGUGUUGCAUGGCUGUCGUCAGCUCGUGUCG